CAAGUGGUUAAACUUGGACGGUAGAAUGCGUGUUUUUUUUAAAUUUUUUUUUUUAAUAUGACCGUAUGGGUCCUAUUAUUGAAUUAUAAAAACAACUACAACAUCCUAAACAACUAACAGUGAAGAAGAAACAAAAAUACUUGAAAUAUCUGGAAGUCUGAAAUGUUCUCUCAUUCUGCAAGUGAUUUGCAAGGAUGUGCUCCUUCUGUAUGUCGAUUAGCAUUUGGAAGAAUGAGACAACGAAUUGUUAGUAAUAAACUUCAGUCGUCUUCUUCGCUAUCGGUGUUGUUGUAGGACAUCAGCCUAGUUCCAAAUCACAUCGAUUGGGAAAGCCGCUAGCUUCUGCUAAUCUGUUGAGAAAAUGAAUACACAAUCUCGAAUGUCAGCAAAUUUCGUCAAGAUUUAAACAAAGGAAGAAAUUUAUGAGGUAAUACAAUUUAGGAACUUCUCUAUUUUAAUUAUAUUAUUAUUAGUCUGGAAAUCAUGAAUUUUAUUAGACCAUGGUUUUGAUGACUUCAUAUGUUGGAUUGUUAUAGUGUAUUGUUUUAAUAUCUUUAAUGUGAUACUGGGAUUUGUUGGAUUGCUCUUUUAA
Long non-coding RNA from Solanum lycopersicum (tomato), 592 nucleotides. RefSeq lists it as uncharacterized. NCBI's taxonomy places the organism in Eukaryota, Viridiplantae, Streptophyta, Magnoliopsida, Solanales, Solanaceae. The record is from RefSeq and is a predicted model, not a curated record.